This 206-nucleotide unclassified non-coding RNA is filed under the name uncultured Sporobolomyces. Its description in RNAcentral is "sequence contains ITS2". Lineage: Eukaryota; Fungi; Basidiomycota. The record is from RNAcentral.
ACUCUUCAACCCACCGGUUCCUUGUUGAACCGAGCUGGUGUUUGGAUUUUGAGCGUCUGCUUUUCAUUAAGCUCGCUCGUAAUACAUUAGCAUCUCAAUUUCGUAAUCGGAUUGACUCAGCGUAAUAGACUAUUCGCUGAGGACACUACUUGUAGUGGCCGAGAAUGAAAAAGUUAGAAGCUUCCAACCCUUCUAGUCAUUUUUGA